CCUGUGAUAAUAUUUAACGGCCGCGGUACCUUGACCGUGCGAAGGUAGCAUAAUCACUUGUCUUUUAAAUGAAGACUUGUAUGAAAGGCAUCACGAGAAUUUAACUGUCUCUAUUUUCUAAUCAAUGAAAUUGAUUUAUUCGUGCAGAAGCGAAUAUAAUGACAUUAGACGAGAAGACCCUAUGGAGCUUUAAACACUUAAAUUAAUUAUAUAAUAAUUUUUCUCUCAGGAUUUAAACUCAAUAUAUAAUAAUUUUAAUUUAACUGUUUUCGGUUGGGGUGACCAA
Molecule: ribosomal RNA, 286 nt
Filed under: Scoliodon sp. GP0065
Lineage: Eukaryota; Metazoa; Chordata; Chondrichthyes; Carcharhiniformes; Carcharhinidae
Description: partial 16S ribosomal RNA
Rfam family: Bacterial large subunit ribosomal RNA
Source: RNAcentral